This 1210-nucleotide long non-coding RNA is filed under the name Fukomys damarensis (Damara mole-rat). RNAcentral describes it as "lncRNA (ENSFDAG00000025313.1)". The record is from RNAcentral. Lineage: Eukaryota; Metazoa; Chordata; Mammalia; Rodentia; Bathyergidae.
CGAACCGGCGACGCAGAGCACUGUCCCGCAGUGCCUCAAACCUGAAAGAGCAGCGGGGUGGAGAUGGGGCAGAGAGAAAGGAAGGACGCCAAGACAAGAGUCUGAUCAAGGCGACGUUUAUUGCCGGCAAGCACCGGCCUUUUAAAGGGAAAGGCCGAACUAUUAUGGGCUAGGAUCACCAUAGUAACCUCAACACCCGCUCCACGGGAACGAGGGUUCACACGGGCCUCAACACCCGCUCCACGGGAACGAGGGUUCACACGGGCAAGAGAAAGCAGGCUCAAGAAAAACAAAUUAACAACACCUGCAACUAAUAAUCAUGAUUCCCACAAUAGGUGGAGGAACCCAACAAAAUGGAGUAUAGGGUCAGCACCUUCUACUCUAUGGCAAGACGGCAGCCUCAGAAAAGACCAUGGCAGAUGACGAGGGAAACCCCUUACAUCUUUACAUAGCUCUCAGUCCUCAAAUGAAAGAGCAAGAUUACCUGAGACAAGAUGGAGAGAGUGGUGGCAGAGGAUGUACUUACCCCAUGGAAUGGUGCUUCACCACCUAUGUCUAAGGGGCCUCAAGAUUUUUUUUUUUGAAUGAAAAGGAACUCUAUUUUCCAAAGAUUAUGACUUAUGGAAAUCCACCCAUGAAUUCCUAAGCAUCUUAAAUAAGAAAACAAGUCUGAAAAAUGGGCCUUCCUGACUUCAAGACUUUUCAUUUGCUGUCAUGAUCACUGCUAAUUGUUGGCCACUGGAACUGCUAUAGCCCAUACUUACCUUGACAACCGGGUCUGGAAGAAUGGGCUCAAGCCCCAUUCUGCCUCUCGGGAGCCAUUCUGCUCUGUAACAUGCUUGCUCUGCGUUAGGCCAUUGACGCUGGUGUAACAUAGCACACAGCACCAAAGGCAGAGCAUUUCCUCAUGGAGUUACCAACCAGAUCUCUAUCUCAGACCUUCUUUUCCAAGGUGGAUGUGGACUCAGACAAACCAGGAGCAGACGAUCUGUCCUACAGACCCAAAGCCUCCAAAGAGGCAACAGAAACAUUUAUACUGAAAGCCAGCAGCUUCUACACGCCAGCUGGCGCUGCUCUCUCGAAUCACCUUUGUUUUCCUUGGAGCAACGUCUCCGCAGCACAGAGCAUUACGUUUGGGAGGCCUGCCCCCUGCUGGACUAGAGAAAGAGUACACAACGAGUUUCAAAGCUCCCAGGAAUAGGAUCGGCCG